AUGGUAGAAUGAGAAGGUCAUCAUUACCCUAGGUACAUGUAUGAUUGUGUACAACCAGAGAAAUGAAAAGUUGUACUCCAUUUGUAUACAAUGAAUCAAAGUGCAUUCAACUGUCACAUACAACUAAUUAGAACAAAUUUAAAAAAGAUUAUGGAUUUAACCUUACUUUUGCCUUAUCUAUUAAGUAUUUUCAAUUUUCUAGCUAUAAAUCAGGAGUCUGGGUAUCUGAUAUGUUAAUGUGUUUCUAAUUGCAAGGGAAAGAAAUCAUGUGCAAAUUUGCUUAACUAAUAAGAAGAAAUUUGGAGAUGAUGUGUGGAGUUUGGGGUUGGUGUGGCCUAGAUGCUCCAAAGAUUCUUUUUCUUCCCAUCUCUCCAUUUGCCUUCCUUAUGAUAUCAGCUUUAUCUUAAGUCUGUCUUAUGGGAAUACAUGGAGAGUUCUGGGAGAUCAAGGGAGUUUUUCAGAUACUCCCCUCAAACCAUUCUUUGUCCUUCAGAGGUCUUUACUGAGUCACAUACACAUGCAUUAACUUAAAACCAUGUUUUGUGAGUGGGAUUAUAGUUCACGUGGGCUGAAUGUGUACCUAAUUACCAGAACUAGUGAUAAAUUUGGCUUUCUCCAAAGUGCAUGUGCUACAGAGGAUGGUAUGGUUGUCUAAACAAAAACAAAACGAGGGUAAUCAUGAAGAGAAGGGUACUAAGUCAGAAGGUUAAUUACAAUACAGUAUCUCCCUCACCUGCUUUCUGACCACUUGCUUUCCAGCCCACCUUUCUGAGUCUUACAAAUGUAUUAUUCAAGAAGCCACUUCAUCUUCAUUCUUUCUUUGGAGUAGCUGCUCUCAUAUUUGGACUUUCUCCUUCCUAUAAUAUUUCCUGUAAAAACCUAAGUUGAACUCUAUUGUUUAGGGAUGCUGGCAGCCUGGCAGUCACACUGAGCAAGGCAACUUUGUGAACUGAUGUGGAUUGUAAUAAAAAUUGAGAAGGUCAUGUUUACUUUUGAAUGCUGCCACUAUUGCUUCUAUGAUUUGAAACGCUAGAAUACUAUUUUUCUUUCUUUUUUUAUACAUGCCUAAGGAAAUGUUUGUAUUUUUCCUUAAUUAGGGUAAUGUGAACCUUGCAAAAAAUCAUAAAAAAUACAGAUUCGUAAACUGUUAAAAGGUAGAAGAGCCACAAUUUCAGUUAAUUACAUAUUCAAACAGGGGCAGUGAUUCCUCUUCUUUCGGGAGACAAAUGCAGUAUUUUCAUCCUAUUUUUUUU
This 1253-nucleotide long non-coding RNA is filed under the name Marmota monax (woodchuck). Lineage: Eukaryota; Metazoa; Chordata; Mammalia; Rodentia; Sciuridae. The record is from RNAcentral.